UGGGGAAUUUUGCACAAUGGGGGGAACCUUGAUGCAGCGACGCCGCGUGAGGGAUGGAGGCCUUCGGGUUGUGAACCUCUUUCGCUCGUGUGCAAGCCGCUAUUUGGGUAGUGGUGAGUGUAGCGGGUAAAGAAGCGCCGGCUAACUACGUGCCAGCAGCCGCGGCAAUACGUAGGGCGCGGGCGUUGUCCGGAUUUAUUGGGCGUAAAGGGCUUGUAGGCGGUUUGUCGGGCCUGUCGUGUAAUCCUCGGGCUUAACUGGGGGUGUGCGGUGGGUACGGGCAAGCUUGAGUGGGGUAGGGGGGAUGGGAAUUCCUGGUGUAGCGGUGGAAUGCGCAGAUAUCAGGAGGAACACCGGUGGCGAAGGCUGGUCUCUGGGCCGUUACUGACGCUGAGGAGCGAAAGCGUGGGGAGCGAACAGG
Molecule: ribosomal RNA, 421 nt
Filed under: Fusobacteriota bacterium
Lineage: Bacteria; Fusobacteriati; Fusobacteriota
Description: Fusobacteria bacterium partial 16S ribosomal RNA
Rfam family: Bacterial small subunit ribosomal RNA
Source: RNAcentral